GAUGAACGCUGGCGGCGUGCUUAACACAUGCAAGUCGAACGGAAAGACCCUGCUUUUGUGGGGCGCUCGAGUGGCGAACGGGUGAGUAACACGUGAGUAACCUGCCCUUGACUUUGGGAUAACUUCAGGAAACUGGGGCUCAUAUCGGAUAUGAGCUCCUGCUCCAUGGUGGGGGUUGGAAAGUGUCGGUGGUUCGGGAUGGACUGGAGGCUAAUGGGCUUGUUGGUGGGGUAGUGGCUUACCAAGUUUGAGACGGGUAGCCGGCCUGGGAGGGUGGACAGGGACAAUAGGACUGAGAGAGGGAGCAGUCGCGUACGGGAGGCAGCAGUGGGGAGUAUUACACAGUGGGCGGGAGCCUGAUGCGGCGGCGCCGCGUGCGGGAUGACGGCCUUUGGGUUGUGAACCGCUUUCGCCUGAGACGAAGCGUUAGUGACGGUAAUGGGUAAAGAAGCACCGGCUAACUACGUG
Molecule: ribosomal RNA, 468 nt
Filed under: uncultured bacterium
Lineage: Bacteria
Description: partial 16S ribosomal RNA
Rfam family: Bacterial small subunit ribosomal RNA
Source: RNAcentral